Molecule: ribosomal RNA, 451 nt
Filed under: uncultured bacterium
Lineage: Bacteria
Description: bacterial SSU rRNA
Rfam family: Bacterial small subunit ribosomal RNA
Source: RNAcentral
AGCCAGACUCCUACGGGAGGCAGCAGUGGGGAAUAUUGCACAAUGGGGGGAACCCUGAUGCAGCGACGCCGCGUGGGCGAGGAAGUAUUUCGGUAUGUAAAGCCCUAUCGGCAGGGAAGAAGAAAUGACGGUACCUGAAUAAGAAGCACCGGCUAAAUACGUGCCAGCAGCCGCGGUAAUACGUAUGGUGCAAGCGUUAUCCGGAUUUACUGGGCGUAAAGGGAGCGCAGGCGGCGCGCCAAGUCUGAUGUGAAGCCCCGGGGCUCAACCCCGGGCAUGCAUUGGAAACUGGCGGGCUGGAGUGCCGGAGAGGUAAGCGGAAUUCCUAGUGUAGCGGUGAAAUGCGUAGAUAUUAGGAGGAACACCAGUGGCGAAGGCGACUUUCUGGACUGUACCUGACGCUGAGGCGCGAAAGCGUGGGUAGCGAACGGGAUUAGAUACCCCUGUAGUU